This 419-nucleotide ribosomal RNA is filed under the name bacterium enrichment culture clone ALO1_GLFRUDD03GEIUT. RNAcentral's name for it is "bacterial SSU rRNA". It matches the Rfam family "Bacterial small subunit ribosomal RNA", at positions 9 to 429 of the family's 1533-position model. The record is from RNAcentral.
GAGUUUGAUCGUGGCUCAGAUUGAACGCUGGCGGCAUGCCUUACACAUGCAAGUCGAACGGCAGCACGGGAGCUUGCUCCUGGUGGCGAGUGGCGAACGGGUGAGUAAUGCAUCGGAACGUAUCCUGGAGUGGGGGAUAACGUAGCGAAAGUUACGCUAAUACCGCAUAUUCUGUGAGCAGGAAAGCGGGGGACCUUCGGGCCUCGCGCUCUUGGAGCGGCCGAUGUCGGAUUAGCUAGUUGGUGAGGUAAAGGCUCACCAAGGCGACGAUCCGUAGCAGGUCUGAGAGGAUGAUCUGCCACACUGGAACUGAGACACGAUCCAGACUCCUACGGGAGGCAGCAGUGGGGAAUUUUGGACAAUGGGGGCAACCCUGAUCCAGCCAUGCCGCGUGAGUGAAGAAGGCCUUCGGUUGUAAG